This 519-nucleotide ribosomal RNA is filed under the name Enterobacter cloacae. Its description in RNAcentral is "partial 23S ribosomal RNA". It matches the Rfam family "Bacterial large subunit ribosomal RNA", at positions 2261 to 2779 of the family's 2925-position model. Lineage: Bacteria; Pseudomonadati; Pseudomonadota; Gammaproteobacteria; Enterobacterales; Enterobacteriaceae. The record is from RNAcentral. RNAcentral also lists the same sequence under 1 other name.
GUGGGUAGUUUGACUGGGGCGGUCUCCUCCCAAAGAGUAACGGAGGAGCACGAAGGUUAGCUAAUCCUGGUCGGACAUCAGGAGGUUAGUGCAAUGGCAUAAGCUAGCUUGACUGCGAGAGUGACGGCUCGAGCAGGUGCGAAAGCAGGUCAUAGUGAUCCGGUGGUUCUGAAUGGAAGGGCCAUCGCUCAACGGAUAAAAGGUACUCCGGGGAUAACAGGCUGAUACCGCCCAAGAGUUCAUAUCGACGGCGGUGUUUGGCACCUCGAUGUCGGCUCAUCACAUCCUGGGGCUGAAGUAGGUCCCAAGGGUAUGGCUGUUCGCCAUUUAAAGUGGUACGCGAGCUGGGUUUAGAACGUCGUGAGACAGUUCGGUCCCUAUCUGCCGUGGGCGCUGGAGAAUUGAGGGGGGCUGCUCCUAGUACGAGAGGACCGGAGUGGACGCAUCACUGGUGUUCGGGUUGUCAUGCCAAUGGCACUGCCCGGUAGCUAAAUGCGGAAGAGAUAAGUGCUGAAAGCA